This 1045-nucleotide ribosomal RNA is filed under the name Escherichia coli. Its description in RNAcentral is "partial 23S ribosomal RNA". It matches the Rfam family "Bacterial large subunit ribosomal RNA", at positions 165 to 1249 of the family's 2925-position model. The record is from RNAcentral. Lineage: Bacteria; Pseudomonadati; Pseudomonadota; Gammaproteobacteria; Enterobacterales; Enterobacteriaceae.
CAUAGGUUAAUGAGGCGAACCGGGGGAACUGAAACAUCUAAGUACCCCGAGGAAAAGAAAUCAACCGAGAUUCCCCCAGUAGCGGCGAGCGAACGGGGAGCAGCCCAGAGCCUGAAUCAGUGUGUGUGUUAGUGGAAGCGUCUGGAAAGGCGCGCGAUACAGGGUGACAGCCCCGUACACAAAAAUGCACAUGCUGUGAGCUCGAUGAGUAGGGCGGGACACGUGGUAUCCUGUCUGAAUAUGGGGGGACCAUCCUCCAAGGCUAAAUACUCCUGACUGACCGAUAGUGAACCAGUACCGUGAGGGAAAGGCGAAAAGAACCCCGGCGAGGGGAGUGAAAAAGAACCUGAAACCGUGUACGUACAAGCAGUGGGAGCACGCUUAGGCGUGUGACUGCGUACCUUUUGUAUAAUGGGUCAGCGACUUAUAUUCUGUAGCAAGGUUAACCGAAUAGGGGAGCCGAAGGGAAACCGAGUCUUAACUGGGCGUUAAGUUGCAGGGUAUAGACCCGAAACCCGGUGAUCUAGCCAUGGGCAGGUUGAAGGUUGGGUAACACUAACUGGAGGACCGAACCGACUAAUGUUGAAAAAUUAGCGGAUGACUUGUGGCUGGGGGUGAAAGGCCAAUCAAACCGGGAGAUAGCUGGUUCUCCCCGAAAGCUAUUUAGGUAGCGCCUCGUGAAUUCAUCUCCGGGGGUAGAGCACUGUUUCGGCAAGGGGGUCAUCCCGACUUACCAACCCGAUGCAAACUGCGAAUACCGGAGAAUGUUAUCACGGGAGACACACGGCGGGUGCUAACGUCCGUCGUGAAGAGGGAAACAACCCAGACCGCCAGCUAAGGUCCCAAAGUCAUGGUUAAGUGGGAAACGAUGUGGGAAGGCCCAGACAGCCAGGAUGUUGGCUUAGAAGCAGCCAUCAUUUAAAGAAAGCGUAAUAGCUCACUGGUCGAGUCGGCCUGCGCGGAAGAUGUAACGGGGCUAAACCAUGCACCGAAGCUGCGGCAGCGACGCUUAUGCGUUGUUGGGUAGGGGAGCGUUCUGUAAGCC